Molecule: ribosomal RNA, 253 nt
Filed under: uncultured bacterium
Lineage: Bacteria
Description: partial 16S ribosomal RNA
Rfam family: Bacterial small subunit ribosomal RNA
Source: RNAcentral
UACGUAGGUGGCAAGCGUUGUCCGGAAUUAUUGGGCGUAAAGCGCGCGCAGGUGGUUCCUUAAGUCUGAUGUGAAAGCCCACGGCUCAACCGUGGAGGGUCAUUGGAAACUGGGGAACUUGAGUGCAGAAGAGGAAAGUGGAAUUCCAAGUGUAGCGGUGAAAUGCGUAGAGAUUUGGAGGAAUACCGGUGGCGAAGGCGGCAUCCUGGACCGGCAUUGACGCUGAGGAGCGAAAGCCAGGGGAGCAAACGGG